Molecule: ribosomal RNA, 253 nt
Filed under: uncultured bacterium
Lineage: Bacteria
Description: partial 16S ribosomal RNA
Rfam family: Bacterial small subunit ribosomal RNA
Source: RNAcentral
UACGUAGGGUGCAAGCGUUAAUCGGAAUUACUGGGCGUAAAGCGUGCGCAGGCGGUUUUUUAAGACAGAUGUGAAAUCCCCGGGCUCAACCUGGGAACUGCAUUUGUGACUGUAGAGCUGGAGUGCGGCAGAGGGGGAUGGAAUUCCGCGUGUAGCAGUGAAAUGCGUAGAUAUGCGGAGGAACACCGAUGGCGAAGGCAAUCCCCUGGGCCUGCACUGACGCUCAUGCACGAAAGCGUGGGGAGCAAACAGG